CCGACGGGAGCUUGCUCCCUUAGGUCAGCGGCGGACGGGUGAGUAACACGUGGGUAACCUGCCUGUAAGACUGGGAUAACUCCGGGAAACCGGGGCUAAUACCGGAUGCUUGAUUGAACCGCAUGGUUCAAUCAUAAAAGGUGGCUUUCAGCUACCACUUGCAGAUGGACCCGCGGCGCAUUAGCUAGUUGGUGAGGUAACGGCUCACCAAGGCGACGAUGCGUAGCCGACCUGAGAGGGUGAUCGGCCACACUGGGACUGAGACACGGCCCAGACUCCUACGGGAGGCAGCAGUAGGGAAUCUUCCGCAAUGGACGAAAGUCUGACGGAGCAACGCCGCGUGAGUGAUGAAGGUUUUCGGAUCGUAAAACUCUGUUGUUAGGGAAGAACAAGUACCGUUCGAAUAGGGCGGUACCUUGACGGUACCUAACCAGAAAGCCACGGCUAACUACGUGCCAGCAGCCGCGGUAAUACGUAGGUGGCAAGCGUUGUCCGGAAUUAUUGGGCGUAAAGCGCGCGCAGGCGGUUUCUUAAGUCUGAUGUGAAAGCCCCCGGCUCAACCGGGGAGGGUCAUUGGAAACUGGGGAACUUGAGUGCAGAAGAGGAGAGUGGAAUUCCACGUGUAGCGGUGAAAUGCGUAGAGAUGUGGAGGAACACCAGUGGCGAAGGCGACUCUCUGGUCUGUAACUGACGCUGAGGCGCGAAAGCGUGGGGGAGCGAACAGGAUUAGAUACCCUGGGUAGUCCAC
Molecule: ribosomal RNA, 748 nt
Filed under: Bacillus licheniformis
Lineage: Bacteria; Bacillati; Bacillota; Bacilli; Caryophanales; Bacillaceae
Description: bacterial SSU rRNA
Rfam family: Bacterial small subunit ribosomal RNA
Source: RNAcentral